RNAcentral lists this long non-coding RNA (571 nucleotides) under Salvia miltiorrhiza (redroot sage). RNAcentral's name for it is "long non-coding RNA (SMIL_LNC003273)". The record is from RNAcentral. Lineage: Eukaryota; Viridiplantae; Streptophyta; Magnoliopsida; Lamiales; Lamiaceae.
AACGGAACAAUCGAACAAACUUACCAAUUACCAGAAUCCAGAUUCCAAAAGACAAAUAGACAAUGAGGGUACAACAACAAUCUUCCCUGCUACGAACCCAAACGAAGACAAUCUCUAAAUUGCAGUGUGAAUUUUUUUGCUCAAGAACAAGAAGGACAAUAAUCAAAGAGUAAAUUGGUGAGAACAAUUAAUUUACCUCAUUCUAUUUAUACAACUAUAUAUCUGACUGAUUCUGAUUCAACUGUAAAAAUUGAGAAAUUGAAGAGAUUAAUACCUUCCCCAUGAAAUAAAAUUGGCGUCUGCAACGGCUUGAAGCAGAAGACGAAGCGUUUUUUUUUUUCCCGAGAAUUACGCCUGGAAUUUGAAACAGAUGAGAUUUAAUGUUUGAUUUUAGAUAUCUAACGAUUUAGUAUUUACCGAUAACAGAUUUUGGGCCCAAUUAACAAGCUUAAUAUUUUUAUUUAAUUAUGGGCCUAUAAUAACUAAUGAAAUAUAAUAAAAAAUUUGGGCCCUCAGAUUUUUGGGGCCCUGGGCCGUCGCCCAGGCCCGCCCGCCCCCAGGGCCGGCCCUG